RNAcentral lists this long non-coding RNA (2875 nucleotides) under Homo sapiens (human). RNAcentral's name for it is "IQSEC3 antisense RNA 1, transcript variant 2 (IQSEC3-AS1)". The record is from RNAcentral. Lineage: Eukaryota; Metazoa; Chordata; Mammalia; Primates; Hominidae.
AGAAGGGAAUUCUGGCAGAACCACUUCUGGACCUGUCCCUCUGCACCCCCCAUUCCUGCGCCCUCAUUUAACCUCCCUGACUCUGACCUGGGCUUGGUCUAUCUUGGGGCCUGGCUGCCGUCCUGGGACGGGAAGGGGAGCAGAUCAGAACUCAGCCUGCGGCUCCAGGCCGCUGGGCGCUGGCUGGGCCUCACGUUCUCCUGGAAGGACCACCUCCCUUGCCCUCCACGGGGUCUGCCUUUGCUCCCAAGGCUCCGCCCUGGACGGAGCGUCCUUCUUGCCUGGGCGUCUUCAGACCUUCAUCUGUGACACCGGGGGCCAUGUGGCUCACCCCGAGGAAGAGACGAGGACUCGCUGUGUUGGCUGUUCUUGAGCUUCUGGGCUCAAGCAAUCCUCCCUCCUGAGCUUCCCAGAGUGCUAGGAUUACAGGUGUGAGCCACUGAGCCCAGCCCAUUUUCUUUUUUUUUUUUUUCCUGGCUUCCUUUCCUCCCUGUCUCCCUGGCCUACCCUUCCUCUUCCCUCAGCUGUUCCUUCCCUUUCUCUCCAGUGAAGACUAAGGGCCAAGCAUGAGCCUUUCUUCCUGCUCUUUUACCCUUGAGGCAGCAGGAGAGGAUAUUCACCUCCUGACAUGACAGAUUCUGACGCUAUCUGCUCCUCUGUGACUUUGGGAAGCGGGGUAUGUGCUGCUCCUGGGCUGAUGGGGGAAAGUGCCUCUCCCAGCAAUGCUGGUGCCACUUGGUGUGCUACGGCCCCCCAGGGCAGUGCGGAGCCAUCUGGGACAGUUAGACAAUGAGAGACGUGAAGCCAUUUCAAGGUGCUUCCUUGAAAAUGCUCCAGAAAAACAGCAGAGGCGGCCUCUCUGGGGAUCCGGUCCAGCCCUUGAAAAGAAUCUGUUUGUUUCACCACUGAACUCAAAUAAGCCAACAGAUUGAAGGAAGGGAGUUUCCACGCGCCCCUCCCCACCAAGCAGUUACCUGAGUUCCAGAGUCCAGUCCGAUGGAUCCCAUUUUACCCUGGUUUAAAUUGUUUCCUUAGAAAAAAAUAAACAGAACCUCUUCUCUCACUCUCCAGUGGAAAGUAUAGAAUCAAACGUAAAUGAAAAUGACAGUUUCUAACAUGCGCGACCUGGACACGCGGCUGAACUCCGAGCCUCAGCUGCAGAGUGGGGUCAAUGCACCUACCUUGCAGCGUCACUGUGAGGAUCCACACAACAGAAAUAAACUGCUUAGUGUGUAGUAGGAGCCUCAAAAAUGAUGAUUCAAAAGCACCAGCCUGUCACAUUCAUCCCCUGCUCAAAAACUCUCCCUGCCUUUCCUAGCGCCUAAUGGACAGAUAUUAGUUCAGAAACACUUUAUAACUAAGUGGCCAUAGAGGCAGGCCUGAAGCCUAUUUUCAUUUUCUGUUUCAGUUUCUGAAUCUGUUCUUAUUUAGUCUUCCCUUAAAGGCUAUCUGGCGCCUCCGUGAUGCUUAAUCAGGACAAGCUUGCAGAUGGGUACAGGUUGCAGGCCCUUGCCUCUCUUCCCUUAACCCCACAGCAGCCAGUAAACCACCUGGACACAGAAAGAGACCCACAUAUUCUCUAAAAUGCCUGAAUGGAACAAUCUAGAAUCUAAGCAUUCCUUAUAGGAACAGAGACUACUGUAAGAUGCGGGAUAGUAAGAAGGCAGCCUAGACUCUUCAAAAGGACAAUGUUUUAAAAAAAAUGAAGUGGAGGGAUGAUUCAAGAUUAAAAGAGAGUGAAGAAAUGAGGCCAACCAGAUGCAGUGUACAGACUUGGGCCACAGUGGGGGAGGUGACAGCAGACGGUUUGGUGGGAAGGAACGCACCAGAGCCCCAUGGGCCUGCCUGGCCAGCUCGCUUGGUCAUCCUGGUAAAACAGCAGAGCUCUCUGUUCCAAGAGGCCCACGCGCAGCCCCACAUGCCUGCUGAUCUGUGUACACACGUGUGUGCACUCUAGCAAGCCUCACUUUAAUUGUGAAGAAACAUGGGAACCGGUGCUCCCACCCGGGCUGUGGGAGUGUGGUGCGGUGGGGCCUGGACACGGGGAGGGUCCGAAGUGGGGCCAGCUCCCUGGAGUCAGGCAUGUCUGUCUCAAGCUGCCCCUGUCCCUUGCUGAAUGGGAACCCCCACCAGCUGCCUCGGGAGCCCGUGUCCUUACACUCUAUUCGGAUCUGCUCCAGCUCCGUCACCUCAGCAAUGGACUCCUUCAGGUCCUCCACGAACUUCUGCAUCUCGUCCGAGCCCAGGGCACAGAAAUGCAGCACCUGCUUCUUCUCGGAGCCCGAGAGCGGGGUCACCAGUGUGAUGCCAUGAGAGUAAUCUGGAAAGCAGACCCCAGGCCCCCAGUGGGCUGUGAGCAGCAGCAGCCGAGGGCCAGAGCCAGCCAGACAUGAGGAGGGCACGGGGUCUCAUGCCUCCACCCACUCUGCUGUCCAGCCCUUCUCCCUCAACUCGCCCCAGCCAUUUCAUCCAUUCAUUCCUUCUCAAAGACUUACACUGGCUGUCAAAGACUUACACUCGUUCUCAAAGAGCUGGAACUGCAUGCCCAGCAGGCCAACUGACUUGCAAAAGGUGUACGUGGAGGAGCUCUUCUUCUUCGGGCAAAGUUUGAGAAUCUGUUCAGGAGAGGGAAACAGGCAUGCCCUGAUGAACAGACACUCACGGACACAUGGAUGCACAAACACCCGGGGGAUGCACGAUCACACAAACCCACGCAGUGAUGAAUGUGCACAUACAGCAGCUUCUGUGAGCUGAGCCCUGGAGAUACAGGAGAACUCAGGACAGAGCCCCUGCCCUUAAGGUGCUUAUGGAAUGUGGAGUGUCACAGUGUCCAUCAGGUGAUCAAACAAUAAAGCAUAACAGCAAAAAAACAAAA